AGUGAACGCUGGCGGUAGGCCUAACACAUGCAGGUCGAACGGCAGCACAGUAAGAGCUUGCUCUUACGGGUGGCGAGUGGCGGACGGGUGAGGAAUACAUCGGAAUCUACUUUUUCGUGGGGGAUAACGUAGGGAAACUUACGCUAAUACCGCAUACGACCUACGGGUGAAAGCAGGGGAUCUUCGGACCUUGCGCGAUUGAUUGAGCCGAUGUCGGAUUAGCUAGUUGGCGGGGUAAAGGCCCACCAAGGCGACGAUCCGUAGCUGGUCUGAGAGGAUGAUCAGCCACACUGGAACUGAGACACGGUCCAGACUCCUACGGGAGGCAGCAGUGGGGAAUAUUGGACAAUGGGCGCAAGCCUGAUCCAGCCAUACCGCGUGGGUGAAGAAGGCCUUCGGGUUGUAAAGCCCUUUUGUUGGGAAAGAAAAGCAGCAGGUUAAUACCCCGCUGUUCUGACGGUACCCAAAGAAUAAGCACCGGCUAACUUCGUG
RNAcentral lists this ribosomal RNA (492 nucleotides) under uncultured bacterium. RNAcentral's name for it is "partial 16S ribosomal RNA". It matches the Rfam family "Bacterial small subunit ribosomal RNA", at positions 29 to 507 of the family's 1533-position model. The record is from RNAcentral.